RNAcentral lists this ribosomal RNA (508 nucleotides) under uncultured bacterium. RNAcentral describes it as "partial 16S ribosomal RNA". It matches the Rfam family "Bacterial small subunit ribosomal RNA", at positions 28 to 523 of the family's 1533-position model. The record is from RNAcentral.
GAUGAACGCUAGCUACAGGCUUAACACAUGCAAGUCGAGGGGAAACGAUAGAGAAAGCUUGCUUUUUCUAGGCGUCGACCGGCGCACGGGUGAGUAACGCGUAUCCAACCUGCCCAUCACUUGGGGAUAACCUUGCGAAAGUAAGACUAAUACCCAAUGACGUCCAUAGAAGACAUCUGAAAUGGAUUAAAGAUUUAUCGGUGAUGGAUGGGGAUGCGUCUGAUUAGCUUGUUGGCGGGGUAACGGCCCACCAAGGCGACGAUCAGUAGGAGUUCUGGGAGGAAGUUCCCCCACAUUGGAACUGAGACACGGUCCAAACUCCUACGGGAGGCAGCAGUGAGGAGUAUUGGUCAAUGGACGAGAGUCUGAACCAGCCAAGUAGCGUGCAGGAUGACGGCCCUAUGGGUUGUAAACUGCUUUUAUAAGGGAAUAAAGUGGGAGUCGUGACUCCUUUUGCAUGUACCUUAUGAAUAAGGACCGGCUAAUUCCGUGCCAGCCGCCGCCGUAA